CUUUUGUUGUUCACUAAUUUCUAAAUUAAGAUAUUCUAUCAUAAAAUUAUUUUUAUUUAUCUAAGUCUACCUCUUUCAAAUUUGAUUGCUAAUUGAUUUUCUAAAAAUUCUUUAGCUCUUUGUUCUCUUUCAUAUUGUCUGACUAUGUUCUAAUAAUUCUCUCUGGAUAGUUUUUACUUCUUCACUAAACAAUGGGUCACCUAUAAUGCUAUUCUAAAAUCUUUAUCUACCUUUUAGAUAUCUAAUAUGUUUUUCAUGUCUUUCAAAUAUCUUUUAAUACCACUUUUAGUAGGGUGAUAUGGACAAUAUAAACAUGUUAAAUAUAUUCCUGGUCUACAAGGGCAUGGAGGAGGAUUCAUAUAAUUUUAUUUGCACCUACCUUUUUCUUUUAGUAUGGCUAAAUAGUUCUGGAAUGCAUCUUCUCACUAUGUAAUAAUUUCUAUAUGGUAAUGUACUCUUCCUAUAUUAUUAUAAAGGCUUAAUUACUGUUUCACCCCUGGAACAAGCGUUCGGUCUUAUUUUACCCUUAGAAAUUGAAAAUUUCUUACUUAACACCCAUAAUCUCUAAAAAUUGUUGAAAUUUUCUCACUUUAUGACUUCUGUCCAUUUUCGUCCACAAAAUUGUUAAAU
RNAcentral lists this long non-coding RNA (630 nucleotides) under Prunus persica (peach). RNAcentral describes it as "long non-coding RNA (PPER_LNC004760)". Lineage: Eukaryota; Viridiplantae; Streptophyta; Magnoliopsida; Rosales; Rosaceae. The record is from RNAcentral.